RNAcentral lists this long non-coding RNA (1156 nucleotides) under Mus musculus (house mouse). RNAcentral's name for it is "predicted gene 9828". The record is from RNAcentral. Lineage: Eukaryota; Metazoa; Chordata; Mammalia; Rodentia; Muridae.
CCUUUCGUCCAGCGGCGGGCCGGGAGCAGCACCGGAGAGCUGGGACCCGCGGUCGCCGUCCGCGGUCCUGGGAAAGGCCGCGGAUAGAUCGGACAGUGAGGCUCCCUGUAGAGCUGUGGUUAAAUCAGUCUGCCCUGUGGCCACCCCGUAGGGCGUCCAGCUUUGUCCAGUAGGCUGCAGUGUCUGCUCAAUGCCGGGUGUAAAUAAAAAACUAUCGAAAUCAGCCAGGCUAAUGUUGCUUUCCAAAAUUAAGUGACUUGGGUGAUGUAGAAAUCGCGACUCAGAAUGUCUAGAAAGCAUGUUCGGAAUGCUUUCCAGAUCUCCACCCUUCAGCAAUUCGGUUUAUUCAAGGUUGAAACAGGGUAACAAGAUUUGUAACCUCUUAACCCUUCUACACCUCUACCAUCGACUCCCUGAUCUCGAAUCGUCAUGGAUUCGACCAUGAAGCAUUCACGAUGGAGCAAACUUUACCUUGAAUUCUUCCAAGAUGAAUUUGAGCCUGCGUGCUUGGGGGACAUGUCUAAACAAAAUAUAUGGUCAUUUUCAUCUCUGACUGGAACUUGAAUUGGCUUCAGCAAGAACCAGCUCACACCUAAGUCAUCAACAAGACUCUUGCAGAUUUCUUCUGGAGAGACAGAAAUAUCUGCAGCCAGGAGGACGGCUGUUGGAGGAAUUCAGGAGCAUUCGACGGAGUCUCCUGUAGUCGGCGAGUGGUCAGUUUUACACAUCCUCCUCAGGACCUCACAGGCAAGAACAGCAGGAUCUGCUUCCUUCAUGAAACCUUGGCUCUGUUCUAUCCAUCGACAGUCCUUCAGGAUACCUAACCUGUCCAGAAACCAAGAGCCACGACUAUUCCUCCCAGGCCUUUGCCUUCCCCACAGAGAUAACGCGGACAUGCCGAGGGAUCCCCUUUACAUCCUUGUGCUCAAGUGGAUUCAGUGUCACAGUUCAAGCGCUUCUUUCUGAAAAGCCCCCUUUGGGAAGAGCAUUCUGCAGGCUGCCCCAUUUACAGUUCACAACGCGUUCUCACGACCGGCCAGGAAGAACACCACAGACCAGAAUCUUCUGCGGCAAAGCUUUAUUUCUUACAUCUUCAGGAGCCAGGGUGCAGGAAGCAAGAGAGCAAGAAGCAAGAGAGCAAGAAGCAAGAGAGCAA